Molecule: ribosomal RNA, 260 nt
Filed under: uncultured bacterium
Lineage: Bacteria
Description: partial 16S ribosomal RNA
Rfam family: Bacterial small subunit ribosomal RNA
Source: RNAcentral
CGAGUAAAGUCGGGCACUCUGGCGAAACCGCCCCGGAUAACGGGGAGGAAGGUGGGGAUGACGUCAAGUCCUCAUGGCCUUUAUGUCCAGGGCUACACACGUGCUACAAUGGCCGGUACAAACCGUCGCAAACCCGCGAGGGGGAGCUAAUCGGAAAAAGCCGGCCUCAGUUCGGAUUGGAGUCUGCAACUCGACUCCAUGAAGCCGGAAUCGCUAGUAAUCGCAGAUCAGCACGCUGCGGUGAAUACGUUCCCGGGCCU